This 273-nucleotide ribosomal RNA is filed under the name uncultured bacterium. RNAcentral describes it as "partial 16S ribosomal RNA". It matches the Rfam family "Bacterial small subunit ribosomal RNA", at positions 524 to 776 of the family's 1533-position model. The record is from RNAcentral.
UACGGGGGGGGGCUAGCGUUGUUCGGAAUUACUGGGCGUAAAGGGCGCGUAGGUGGCGGCGUAAGGCCGCGGUGAAAGUUCGGGGCUCAACCCUGAAUCGGCCGCGGCGACUGCGUCGCUUGGGCACGGUAGAGGCAGAUGGAAUUCCGGGUGUAGCGGUGGAAUGCGUAGAGAUCCGGAAGAACACCGGUGGCGAAGGCGGUCUGCUGGGCCGUGGGAUCGUAAGGUCCCUCAAGCCGACACUGAGGCGCGACAGCGUGGGGAGCAAACAGG